RNAcentral lists this ribosomal RNA (616 nucleotides) under uncultured Legionella sp. Its description in RNAcentral is "bacterial SSU rRNA". It matches the Rfam family "Bacterial small subunit ribosomal RNA", at positions 242 to 849 of the family's 1533-position model. The record is from RNAcentral. Lineage: Bacteria; Pseudomonadati; Pseudomonadota; Gammaproteobacteria; Legionellales; Legionellaceae.
UAGCUAGUUGGUAGGGUAAAGGCCUACCAAGGCGACGAUCGGUAGCUGGUCUGAGAGGAUGGCCAGCCACACUGGAACUGAGACACGGUCCAGACUCCUACGGGAGGCAGCAGUGGGGAAUAUUGGACAAUGGGGGCAACCCUGAUCCAGCAAUGCCGCGUGUGUGAAGAAGGCCUGAGGGUUGUAAAGCACUUUCAGUGGGGAGGAGGUUACUUAGGUUAAGAGCUAGAGUAAUGGACGUUACCCACAGAAGAAGCACCGGCUAACUCCGUGCCAGCAGCCGCGGUAAUACGGAGGGUGCGAGCGUUAAUCGGAAUUACUGGGCGUAAAGAGUGCGUAGGUGGUUAAUUAAGUUAUCUGUGAAAUCCCUGGGCUCAACCUGGGCAGGUCAGAUAAUACUGGUUAACUCGAGUAUGGGAGAGGGUAGUGGAAUUUCCGGUGUAGCGGUGAAAUGCGUAGAGAUCGGAAGGAACACCAGUGGCGAAGGCGGCUACCUGGCCUAAUACUGACACUGAGGCACGAAAGCGUGGGGAGCAAACAGGAUUAGAUACCCUGGUAGUCCACGCCGUAAACGAUGUCAACUAGCUGUUGGUUAUAUGAAUAUAAUUAGUGGCGA